GAAGCGGCGGGGACGGGCGCCGAGGAGCAGAGCGCAGGCGCGUCCGGGCGCCAGGAAGCUCAGUCUAGCACAGCAAAGUGGCAAAAAGGAAGAACAAAACAGCCGUCUAUUUAAAAGAGUAACGACAGGGAAAAAUACAUUUUCAUCAGCUCGUCUUCUCGCGGCUGAGUCCCCGCAGCAAGCUCCAAACUCCGACGUUAGGAAAUAAAUCAAAAUAACUUUGCUGUGUUUAGCCUCGUGUUGCCGCGUCCCUCAGCUCUGAGUUGAAAAGCAACAGGUACGUGGUGUCUCUCCCAGAAACACGGGAGCGGGUUUAAAAUGCAAUUACGGGGGCUGGCGGAAGGGAAGGGGAAAUGUUUUUCUUCGAUUGAUGCAUGAUUGCCCCCAUGCUGUUUGGAACCGCAUUUUCGCUGAGCUCUGCUAAGAAGUGCUAUUUGCAGGGAGCCUGACAGACGGAAGCGACUGGGCUUGGCAGGUCUAAUGUAUUAUUUCAGCAGGUCUCCAGGGAAAGAUUCUGGGAGGGGCGCUGGCCUUUUAAAGUGCAGAGGACAAGGGGCAGCUCAGCCUCUCUCCAGCCUGUCAAGGCCGAUCCCUGGAAACAGCCCCUGAGCCUCCUGGAGAGGCCCCCCCCCCGCCGCCCCCUCUCCUCCCCUCCCUGCCGCCCUCGGCUCCCACUUGACAAGCCCCGUCAGUCGCGUGUGCAGCCAGCCAGGCCUUCCCGGGCGCGUCUGAGAGGCUGGCUCUCUGCUGGGCACUGCGGGGCUGAGAAAGGGCUUGGGCCGGCUGGGGUGGGGUAGGGAGGCUGGGCCUGCAGGAGCCCACAGCGUGGGUGGGGGGCAGCACAGCCAGAAGUCUGGUGCGGCUGGCACAUUGGAACGUUCGGGAAGACGCCGGUGGCGGGAAGUAGGCAGCAGUGGAGUGUAAGGACCCUGCGUAGAAACGCCCACGGAGGAGGGCGCAGCCCGAGGACCCCCGGGCAGGACGGCCGCGGGGCUGGAGCGGGCUGAGCGUCGGACGCGCCGAGGCUGGGCCCCUGCCGUGUCAGACUCUGCCCUGAGCGCUCUGCUUGUAGUAGUUCAUUUCAUCAUGACGACCGCUGGUAGGUUGGAGCGUUGUCCCCGUUUUGCAGAGGAAACUGAGGCAGAGGGCGGUGAAGCGUCUUGCCCCAGGUCACUCAUCCUGUGACAGCAGAGGCCGGCUGUGAGCCACCCUCCCAGCCACUCUGCUGUGGGAAAGCCGGCAGGGGCCGGCCCAGGGGCCGGGCGGGACCAGCAGCCCAGCGGCCUCCUUUGCCGGGCUCUUACAGUGUACCAGGCACUGCGCUCAGCUCAGAAUAAGGAAAUGGAUCGACCUCGGCCCCUGCUUUCAGGAAGUCGACGGUCAGAUGAAGAACGUGGUUGUUUAAGUAAACUAAAAGCACAGUGGAGGAUGACGGUACAACAGCAAAGAGUUUUUCAAGACACAGAAGCAGCGUGGAGGAGCAGCUGACUACGUUAGUCCUCUUGGAGGGUGAGGCCGGGAGGGCUUCCCGGAGGUGAUGUGUAAUCUGAGUUUUACAGGAGGAACAGAAGUUGCUGUAUGGAUAGAAGGGGCGGUGCAGGGAACAGCAGGUGGAAACAGGCCCGGGGGUGGAGGGAACUCCUGAAAGGACCGUGAGCCACGCCAAGGGUGCCCCCGGAGGAAAACCACUGCUCUAGACUCUCAUCGUGUAGGAGGAAAGGAGAAACGCACAAGAAACGAGAGGCAGCGAAGGCUCGGAGACGUCAAGUAACUGCCCAAGGUCACACAGGCAAGAGAAAGCAGAGCGGGCACCAACCCCAGCGUCGCCGGCUGAGAGCCGGCUCCUCCCCACCCUCCGGCCCCUGACCCCUUGGGGCCCAUUUUUCAGAGGGAGAAGCAGAGGCACAGAGACAAUAAACAACCCGAGAGGCCACAGAGCGAAAUGGGUAAGGGCCCUGGAGCCAGACUGGCUCAGACCCUGCUUCUGCCACUCAGUAGCUGGGCGUCUCCAGGAGAGGGCUUAGCCUCUGUCUGCCUCGGCUUCCGCAUCUGCCACAUGGGGAUAACAGCUCCUGACUUACAGAACGGCGUGGAUGCUAAGAGCUGAGAGCUUGGUGCAGCGCCCGGCGGGCGGCAAGGCUCAGGCCGUGUGAGCUCGACCACGCGAGCUCAACCGUGCGGCGCUGGCGCCCAGCAGGGCAGGCGCUCUGCCCGGGGCCCUUCGGCCGCUCAGCGCCUCCUCUCGGAGCCUCCUUAAAGAAGGUUGCUUGGUGGCCUGUGUUCCUCUCUGAGUCUGGGGUGUCCUGGAGGCAGAUCUCAGCCCAAGCCUGAGCCACAUGUCACCGGAAGGGCACAGCCUGCGGUUUGUGGAUGCCCCGGCCCCGCGAGCCCCAGAAACCUGCCCCAAGGCCCAGGGCCCUCUGGGGCAGAUCGCAUGGGGCUGGGAACCAGGAGGGGGUGUGUGGAGGGUGGGAACAGGGCUCGGUCCUUGGUGAAGGGCUGGAGAGGUGGGGUGGGCGGCUGGCAGAGCAGGUCUGGGGGUGGCCUGUGCAGAGGCCUGGGCAGGUUGGAGUGCUAGGCUGUCUGUCAAUCUUGGGUUAGCAGCACCCUCUUUCUGUCUAGGAAUCCAGGUUCUUGGGGUGCUGCCUCCUCGGAGAAAAAUGCUGGUUUUCCAGCCUCCUCUGCAACCAAGGGGCAGCCAUGGGCCCGGCUCAGCCGACCAGGUGUUCCCACACGAGACAUGGAUCUGAAGUGAGGUGUGCACAGAAGCAGAAGCAGACUGUUGUCUCCUCUGCCCUGGGUGCCCCGACCCCAGCCUCUAACAAUGGAUGGAUUUUCCCGAGGGGAACCCUAACGGGGUUCGGAAGGGCAGCUCUGGGCUCUACUUUUUGUGACUGACAUUUGUACAGGUGAAGUAAAGUUGAAAUCAAUACAGA
This is a long non-coding RNA of Camelus dromedarius (Arabian camel), 2936 nucleotides long. RefSeq lists it as uncharacterized. The transcript is spliced from 3 exons. The record is from RefSeq and is a predicted model, not a curated record. Lineage: Eukaryota; Metazoa; Chordata; Mammalia; Artiodactyla; Camelidae.